UAAAUAACUUUUCUCCGAACUUCCCGGCCUAAAGCAAUUCUGCCAUGGCCGGGGAAGCGAGCCUCGAUGAAGCGAGGCCUCCUUCAGAAAAUCAGAAAUGGUUGAAGGAGCAGGGCUGCUGCGGAAACGCACUGACCUCCCGAAACCCUAAGUCGAACUUGGGGUGGAAUUGGAAAGGAGAGACGGUGAUCGAAAA
RNAcentral lists this non-coding RNA (196 nucleotides) under Chloroflexota bacterium. RNAcentral describes it as "Chloroflexi bacterium MoCo sequence". It matches the Rfam family "Molybdenum/Tungsten riboswitch aptamer (Moco RNA motif)". The record is from RNAcentral. Lineage: Bacteria; Bacillati; Chloroflexota.